UCCAUCACCAAUAAGUGCUGUCUGAUCGCCGGGCGGAGGCCCCACUGGAAUUUCCUGGCCAUUCGGCCCUCAUCCAACAAUGUCUCCGGGGCAUGUCGGCCCAGCUCCAGGAACUUGCGGGCAUACUCCGACACUGUCAUAUUACCUUGGACCAAUUGAGCAAAUUCCAUUUCCUUUAAAUGUUGGAUGUGUUUAGGGAGAUACUCCGCAUGGAAGGCCACUAGGAACUGCUCCCAAGUAACUGGUACAGGCAGGGUGGCCCGCUUGAGCUCCCACCAGCGUACUGCUUCCCCUACCAACAUGUAGGAGGCAAUGGCAGUCCUCUGCUCGGGAACUACU
RNAcentral lists this long non-coding RNA (339 nucleotides) under Carica papaya (papaya). RNAcentral describes it as "long non-coding RNA (CPAP_LNC001254)". Lineage: Eukaryota; Viridiplantae; Streptophyta; Magnoliopsida; Brassicales; Caricaceae. The record is from RNAcentral.